Molecule: ribosomal RNA, 450 nt
Filed under: uncultured Glomeromycotina
Lineage: Eukaryota; Fungi; Glomeromycota
Description: SSU rRNA
Rfam family: Eukaryotic small subunit ribosomal RNA
Source: RNAcentral
AGCAGCCGCGGUAAUUCCAGCUCCAAUAGCGUAUAUUAAAGUUGUUGCAGUUAAAAAGCUCGUAGUUGAAUUUCGGGACCAAUAUGUCGGUCGUGCUUCGGUACGUACUUGCAUUAUUGGUUUCUCCCUUCUGAAGAACCAUGAUGUCAUUAAUUUGGUGUCUUGGGGAAUCAGGACUGUUACUUUGAAAAAAUUAGAGUGUUUAAAGCAGGCUCACGCUUGAAUACAUUAGCAUGGAAUAAUGAAAUAGGACGUUUGAUUCUAUUUUGUUGGUUUUCUAGGAUCGACGUAAUGAUUAAUAGGGAUAGUUGGGGGCAUUAGUAUUCAAUUGUCAGAGGUGAAAUUCUUGGAUUUAUUGAAGACUAACUACUGCGAAAGCAUUUGCCAAGGAUGUUUUCAUUAAUCAAGAACGAAAGUUAGGGGAUCGAAGACGAUCAGAUACCGUCGUAG